CCGGGUGUGGGGUAGUUCGGUGGCCCGUCUGCCUUGGGAGCAGAAGAUCGCAGGUUCGAAUCCUGCCACUCGGACC
Molecule: transfer RNA, 76 nt
Filed under: Planobispora rosea
Lineage: Bacteria; Bacillati; Actinomycetota; Actinomycetes; Streptosporangiales; Streptosporangiaceae
Description: tRNA-Pro
Rfam family: tRNA
About the family: Transfer RNA (tRNA) molecules are approximately 80 nucleotides in length.
Source: RNAcentral